UACAGAGGGUGCGAGCGUUAAUCGGAGUUACUGGGCGUAAAGGGCGCGUAGGCGGUGAGAUGAGUGUGAUGUGAAAGCCCCGGGCUUAACCUGGGAAGGGCAUCGCAAACGAUCUGACUGGAGUAUAGGAGAGGGUGGUGGAAUUUCCGGUGUAGCGGUGAAAUGCGUAGAGAUCGGAAGGAACGUCAAUGGCGAAGGCAGCCACCUGGCCAAAUACUGACGCUGAGGCGCGAGAGCGUGGGGAGCGAACAGG
RNAcentral lists this ribosomal RNA (253 nucleotides) under uncultured bacterium. RNAcentral's name for it is "partial 16S ribosomal RNA". It matches the Rfam family "Bacterial small subunit ribosomal RNA", at positions 524 to 776 of the family's 1533-position model. The record is from RNAcentral.